Molecule: ribosomal RNA, 445 nt
Filed under: uncultured bacterium
Lineage: Bacteria
Description: bacterial SSU rRNA
Rfam family: Bacterial small subunit ribosomal RNA
Source: RNAcentral
CCAGACUCCUACGGGAGGCAGCAGUGGGGAAUAUUGCACAAUGGGGGAAACCCUGAUGCAGCGACGCCGCGUGGGCGAGGAAGUACCUCGGUAUGUAAAGCCCUAUCAGCAGGGAAGAAACAGGACAGUACCUGACUAAGAAGCCCCGGCUAACUACGUGCCAGCAGCCGCGGUAAUACGUAGGGGGCAAGCGUUAUCCGGAUUUACUGGGUGUAAAGGGAGCGUAGACGGCAUUGCAAGUCCGGAGUGAAAGCCCACGGCCCAACCGUGGGACUGCUCUGGAAACUGUAGAGCUGGAGUGCGGGAGGGGCAGGCGGAAUUCCUGGUGUAGCGGUGAAAUGCGUAGAUAUCAGGAGGAACACCGGCGGCGAAGGCGGCCUGCUGGACCGCGACUGACGUUGAGGCUCGAAAGCGUGGGGAGCGAACAGGAUUAGAUACCCUUGUA